RNAcentral lists this ribosomal RNA (1150 nucleotides) under Klebsiella aerogenes. RNAcentral's name for it is "partial 23S ribosomal RNA". It matches the Rfam family "Bacterial large subunit ribosomal RNA", at positions 1 to 1194 of the family's 2925-position model. The record is from RNAcentral. Lineage: Bacteria; Pseudomonadati; Pseudomonadota; Gammaproteobacteria; Enterobacterales; Enterobacteriaceae.
GGUUAAGCGACUAAGCGUACACGGUGGAUGCCCUGGCAGUCAGAGGCGAUGAAGGACGUGCUAAUCUGCGAAAAGCGUCGGUAAGGUGAUAUGAACCGUUACAGCCGGCGAUGUCCGAAUGGGGAAACCCAGUGCAAUUCGUUGCACUAUCGUUAACUGAAUACAUAGGUUAACGAGGCGAACCGGGGGAACUGAAACAUCUAAGUACCCCGAGGAAAAGAAAUCAACCGAGAUUCCCCCAGUAGCGGCGAGCGAACGGGGAGCAGCCCAGAGUCUGAAUCAGCUUGUGUGUUAGUGGAACGGUCUGGAAAGUCCGACGGUACAGGGUGAUAGUCCCGUACACCAAAAUGCACAGGUUGUGAACUCGAAGAGUAGGGCGGGACACGUGGUAUCCUGUCUGAAUAUGGGGGGACCAUCCUCCAAGGCUAAAUACUCCUGACUGACCGAUAGUGAACCAGUACCGUGAGGGAAAGGCGAAAAGAACCCCGGCGAGGGGAGUGAAAAAGAACCUGAAACCGUGUACGUACAAGCAGUGGGAGCACCUUCGGGUGUGACUGCGUACCUUUUGUAUAAUGGGUCAGCGACUUAUAUUCUGUAGCAAGGUUAACCGUAUAGGGGAGCCGCAGGGAAACCGAGUCUUAACUGGGCGUUAAGUUGCAGGGUAUAGACCCGAAACCCGGUGAUCUAGCCAUGGGCAGGUUGAAGGUUGGGUAACACUAACUGGAGGACCGAACCGACUAAUGUUGAAAAAUUAGCGGAUGACUUGUGGCUGGGGGUGAAAGGCCAAUCAAACCGGGAGAUAGCUGGUUCUCCCCGAAAGCUAUUUAGGUAGCGCCUCGUGAACUCAUCUUCGGGGGUAGAGCACUGUUUCGGCUAGGGGGUCAUCCCGACUUACCAACCCGAUGCAAACUACGAAUACCGAAGAAUGUUAUCACGGGAGACACACGGCGGGUGCUAACGUCCGUCGUGAAGAGGGAAACAACCCAGACCGCCAGCUAAGGUCCCAAAGUCACAGUUAAGUGGGAAACGAUGUGGGAAGGCACAGACAGCCAGGAUGUUGGCUUAGAAGCAGCCAUCAUUUAAAGAAAGCGUAAUAGCUCACUGGUCGAGUCGGCCUGCGCGGAAGAUGUAACGGGGCUAAACUGUGCAC